GGACUACCCGGGUAUCUAAUCCUGUUUGCUCCCCACGCUUUCGCGCCUCAGCGUCAGUAUUUGUCCAGGUAGCCGCCUUCGCCACUGGUGUUCCUUCCGAUCUCUACGCAUUUCACCGCUACACCGGAAAUUCCACUACCCUCUACAAUACUCUAGCUCGCCAGUAUGACAUGCAGUUCCUAGGUUAAGCCCAGGGAUUUCACAUAUCACUUAACAAACCGCCUACGCGCCCUUUACGCCCAGUAACUCCGAUUAACGCUCGCACCCUCUGUAUUACCGCGGCGGCUGGCAC
This 292-nucleotide ribosomal RNA is filed under the name uncultured bacterium. RNAcentral describes it as "partial 16S ribosomal RNA". RNAcentral also lists the same sequence under 1 other name. The record is from RNAcentral.